UGCAGAGCGCAUAGCCCCACUUCUCACUCAUGGUGCAGGCUGCCACUGAAAAGGAUGAUUCACAGAUACGGAGCUAGUUAUUGAUGGUGGGUAGCCAUGAAACAUCAAUGGAACAAGUUCUCGAUUGAAACAUAAGUAUGUCACUGGUUAUUGCUAAUUUCCUGUACUUCCUGAUGCAGCCCAUUUCAAGAAAGAUACAACCUCUCCUCACAGACAUCUGUUGUAAACCAAGAUUAUGUCAAAACGAGAUGUGUGCAUGGUGACACCAUGAUGCAAAUGCUAUCUUCACCAACUUGUGUUUCAGUGCCUGACUGAAGUAUAUCAUGAGUUUUGUGUCAUGUUGUCUUGAUGCAUGUUUCAUCAUCUGUCCCUCAUGUCAUGCAUUUUUCUGAUUUUCCCACUCCCAUUUACAGAACCCAUCUCUACUGGUGGCCCUUACAUUUUAUCUCAGAGGCUCUUAAGUUUGCUUCUUUGGAAAUAUAACAUACCUGAGCUGCAAAAACCCAAGCAAUCCAAUCACUAGGUGGCAGCAAAGAGAUUCAGAAAAUUCUAACCCUUUGCUGCCACCUAGAGGUUGUCUGGGGAUUUUUGCAGCCCAGAUUUUGUGUAUCUGGCAUAAUAAAGAAACAAGAGAAUGACUGUCAGUUUGUGAGAAAACAUCUUUGAAAACCUGAUCCGCAUUCACCAUCUUCAUAAGUAUUCUUCCUUUCUCUCUACUCAACAAAAUGCAUACAGAUCCUUCUUAUUAGGUAUGUUUUUAAGAUAUUGAUCCCACUGCAAUUCAUGGGACAUGGAGUUCCACAGAGUACACUGCACCUUUAAUUUUGAUUGGAUAAACUUAGUUUGUAAAGUGCCUGGGCCUUUAGAAUUUAUGCAGCUUUUUUCAA
Molecule: long non-coding RNA, 887 nt
Organism: Python bivittatus (Burmese python)
Lineage: Eukaryota; Metazoa; Chordata; Lepidosauria; Squamata; Pythonidae
Source: RefSeq, a predicted model, not a curated record